CCUACGGGAGGCAGCAGUGGGGAAUAUUGGACAAUGGGCGAAAGCCUGAUCCAGCCAUGCCGCGUGUGUGAAGAAGGCCUUCGGGUUGUAAAGCACUUUCAGCGAGGAAGAAUGCUUCGGGAUUAAUACUCCCGAGGAAAGACAUCACUCGCAGAAGAAGCACCGGCUAACUCCGUGCCAGCAGCCGCGGUAAU
RNAcentral lists this ribosomal RNA (194 nucleotides) under uncultured bacterium. RNAcentral's name for it is "partial 16S ribosomal RNA". It matches the Rfam family "Bacterial small subunit ribosomal RNA", at positions 338 to 524 of the family's 1533-position model. The record is from RNAcentral.